Molecule: ribosomal RNA, 566 nt
Filed under: Salmonella enterica
Lineage: Bacteria; Pseudomonadati; Pseudomonadota; Gammaproteobacteria; Enterobacterales; Enterobacteriaceae
Also listed under: 1 other name
Description: bacterial SSU rRNA
Rfam family: Bacterial small subunit ribosomal RNA
Source: RNAcentral
GUAAUGUCUGGGAAACUGCCUGAUGGAGGGGGAUAACUACUGGAAACGGUGGCUAAUACCGCAUAACGUCGCAAGACCAAAGAGGGGGACCUUCGGGCCUCUUGCCAUCAGAUGUGCCCAGAUGGGAUUAGCUUGUUGGUGAGGUAACGGCUCACCAAGGCGACGAUCCCUAGCUGGUCUGAGAGGAUGACCAGCCACACUGGAACUGAGACACGGUCCAGACUCCUACGGGAGGCAGCAGUGGGGAAUAUUGCACAAUGGGCGCAAGCCUGAUGCAGCCAUGCCGCGUGUAUGAAGAAGGCCUUCGGGUUGUAAAGUACUUUCAGCGGGGAGGAAGGUGUUGUGGUUAAUAACCGCAGCAAUUGACGUUACCCGCAGAAGAAGCACCGGCUAACUCCGUGCCAGCAGCCGCGGUAAUACGGAGGGUGCAAGCGUUAAUCGGAAUUACUGGGCGUAAAGCGCACGCAGGCGGUCUGUCAAGUCGGAUGUGAAAUCCCCGGGCUCAACCUGGGAACUGCAUUCGAAACUGGCAGGCUUGAGUCUUGUAGAGGGGGGUAGAAUUCCAG